Cavia porcellus (domestic guinea pig) is the source of this 275-nucleotide regulatory RNA element. It matches the Rfam family "Mason-Pfizer monkey virus packaging signal". Rfam says of the family: The packaging signal is located in the 5' UTR and is required for specific RNA encapsidation. Lineage: Eukaryota; Metazoa; Chordata; Mammalia; Rodentia; Caviidae. The record is from Rfam.
UGGUGGCAAUGUCGGGCUUGAGAAUGGGGGACUUUCAUGAGGGACGCUGUUUGUGGGCCCAAAGUAGAAAAAAGGAAAAGAAAACAGAGGACCUGAUGAAGUGGGAGCCUGACAUGCCACACUGAACCUCAGUAAAUGAACAGCGAUUAUGGGACAAGUGAGCCAGCAUGAGAUUUUUGUUGAAAGUUUAGGAAAGGCUUUCAAGGCACGAGGAGUAAAGGUUAAAAUUAAGCAAUUGUGUCAAUAUUUUAAUUUUAUAAAACAAGCUUGUCUUU